AAAUAAAUAAAAUGCGUACAAAAUUCCCACUACAAACAAUAGAGUACGGAAAAUUUAAAUGGGAUCACACAAUAAUAGCAACUAACAAUAAAGUUACAGAGGCAUAAAUCUUCAAACAAUUUCAAGCAUACAGAAAACAUUUUCAAAUUUUGGAGUAUGAUAACUAGCUAUAAACACAACACACAUAUGCAUAUACUAUAUCGACAGAACCUAAGGAAGAAUGGUG
Molecule: unclassified non-coding RNA, 226 nt
Filed under: Hevea brasiliensis (rubber tree)
Lineage: Eukaryota; Viridiplantae; Streptophyta; Magnoliopsida; Malpighiales; Euphorbiaceae
Source: RNAcentral